RNAcentral lists this ribosomal RNA (234 nucleotides) under uncultured bacterium. RNAcentral's name for it is "partial 16S ribosomal RNA". It matches the Rfam family "Bacterial small subunit ribosomal RNA", at positions 118 to 347 of the family's 1533-position model. The record is from RNAcentral.
UGAGGAACAUGACCUUCGGCGGGGGAUAGCCGGCCCAACGGCCGGGUAAUACCGCGUACGACCACUUUGGGACAUCCCUCGGUGGUGAAAGCAGCAAUGCGCCGAUGGAGUGCCUCGCGGCCUAUCAGCUAGUUGGUGAGGUAACGGCUCACCAAGGCGACGACGGGUAGCUGGUCUGAGAGGAUGGCCAGCCACAUUAGGACUGAGACACGGCCCAGACUCCUACGGGAGCAG